Molecule: ribosomal RNA, 253 nt
Filed under: uncultured bacterium
Lineage: Bacteria
Description: partial 16S ribosomal RNA
Rfam family: Bacterial small subunit ribosomal RNA
Source: RNAcentral
UACGUAGGGGGCAAGCGUUGUCCGGAUUUAUUGGGCGUAAAGAGCGUGUAGGCGGCCUGAAAGGUCAGCUGUGAAAACUCGAGGCUCAACCUCGAGACGUCGGUGGAAACCGUUUGGCUAGAGUCCGGAAGAGGAGAGUGGAAUUCCCGGUGUAGCGGUGAAAUGCGCAGAUAUCGGGAAGAACACCCGUGGCGAAGGCGGCUCUCUGGGACGGUACUGACGCUGAGACGCGAAAGCGUGGGGAGCGAACAGG